This 2393-nucleotide long non-coding RNA is filed under the name Homo sapiens (human). RNAcentral describes it as "HSALNT0304251". Lineage: Eukaryota; Metazoa; Chordata; Mammalia; Primates; Hominidae. The record is from RNAcentral.
GUUCUGUCUGCAUCAUACCCGGCGACAGCAGCUUCUAAGAGCUGGGGCGCUGGAGCAGACACGGGGGUUCCUAGCUGUGGCUGCUCUCUUCCUUCACAGGCACAUGGAAGCACACUCAAGCGUUCGACAGCACUUCAGCACUGUGCUUGAGGCCAUUGAACACAAAAGCACCAAAUGUGAAAAAAGCGGCACUACGUAGGCAACAAAAAGAAUACUUGUUUACAGUGUGAGCUCACAACGUUGGGUUCGACAAUGACUGCUUGAAUAUGAUACCAAAAGCACAGGCAACAAAAGAAAAAGUGGGCAAAUUGGACUUCAUAAAAAUUUAAAAGGCCAGGCGCGGUGGGUCACGCCUGUAAUCCCAGCACUUUGGGAGGCUGAGGUGGUUGGAUCACAAGGUUAGGAGAUCGAGACCAUCCUGGCUAACAUGGUGAAACCCCGUCUCUACUAAAAAAUAAAUACAAAAAAAUUAGCUGAGCAUGGCAGCGUGUGCCUGCAGUCCCAGCUGCUGGGGAGGCUGAGGCAGGAGAAUGGCGUGAACCUGGGAGGCGGAGCUUGCGGUGAGCCCAGAUCGCGCCACUGCACUCCAGCCUGGGAGACAGAGCGAGACUCAGUCUCAAAAAAAAAAAAAAAAUUUAAAGUUUUGUACACCAAAAGGCAACAUGAACAGACCAAAACACAACCAGCAGAAUGGGAGAACAUAUUUGCAAAUCAUGUAUCUGAUAAGAGAUUCAUAUACAGAAUAUACAGAGAACUCCUGAAACUCAGCAACGUGAAAAGAAACAACCUGGCUGGGCGCAGCGGCUCACACCUGUAAUUCCAGCACUUUGGGAGGCCAAGGCGGGUGGAUUGCCUGAGCUUAGGAGUUCGAGACCAGCCUGAGCAACAUGGUGAAACCCAGUCUCUACUAAAAUACAAGAAACUAGCUGGCUGUAGUGGUGCACACCUGUAAUUCCAGCUACUAGGGAGGCCGAGGCAAGAGAAUCACUUGAACCUGGUAGAUGGAGGUUGCAGUGAGCCGAGAUCAUGCUACUACACUCCAGCCUGAGUGACAGAGCAAGACUCUGGGGUGUCUCAAAAAAAAAAAAUUCUUUCAGCAACGUUUGGUAGUUUUCCUUGUGCAAAUCUUUCUUCUCCUUAGUCAAGUUAAUUCCUAAACUUCUUUGUAAUACUGUUGUAAAUAGUAUUAUUUUUUCAUAAUUUCUUUUUCAGAUUGUUCAUUAUUAGAUUAUUAGUAUACAGACAUGCAAUGGAUCUGGGUUUAUUUACUUGGUACCCUGCUACUUCGCUGAAUUCAUUUAUUUUAACAGGUUUGUGCAUGUGUGGAAUCUUCAGGUUUUCUGCAUAUGAGAUCAUAUCUUCUUCGAACAGAGAUAAUUUACUUCUUCCUUUUCAAUUUGGAUGCCUUUUAUUUCUUUUUCUUGCCUAGUUGCUCUGGCUAAGACUCAGUACUAUGUAAAUAGAAGUGGCCAAAGCAGGCAUCCUUGCUUUGCUCCCUUUUUUUUUUUUUUUUGGAGACAGAGUUUCGCUCUUGUUGCCCAGGCUGAAGUGCAAUGGAGUGAUCUUGGCUCACUCUAAACUCCGCCUCCCGCGUUCAUGCCAUUCUCCUGCCUCAGCCUCCCAAGUAGCUGGGAUUACAGGCAUGCGGCACCACACCAGGAUAAUUUUGUAUUUUUAGUAGAGGCAGGGUUUUUCCAUGUUGGUCAGGCUGGUCUCGAACUCCCAACCUCAGGUGAUCCGCCCGCCUCAGCCUCCCAAAGUGCUGGGAUUACAGGCGUGAGCCACUGCACCUGGCUGCUUUGUUCCCAAUCUUAAAGAAAACAUUUCAGUCUUCCAAGGAUUGGUUUUGAGCUGAAGCUGCUCUCCUUGGCUUGCAGAUGGCUGUCCCCUUGCUGCCUUGUCACAUGAUUGGCCCUCUGUCCACUUGUAGCUCUCGGUGCUUUGCAUGUCCAGAUUUCUUCUUAUAAGGUCACCAGUCAUAUUGGACUAGGGCCCACCCUAACGGCCUCAUUUUGACUUAAUUUCUUCUUUAACGGCUUUGUCUCCUAAUACAGUAACAUUCUGCAGCUCUGGGGAUUGGGACUUCAACAUGUGAAUUCGAGGGAACAAAAUACAGCCCAUAACAAUGAAGAAAUGGAUCCAUGAAGGGAUGGAAAGGAGGGCUCACAUGCAGCUCUGAGGGGAAACGAGGAGGCCAUGACCACAUUUUCUCCUAAAAAUAAAUAAAUAAAUAAAUAAAUAAAUAAAUAAAUAAACAAACAAACAAACCACAACAGAUAAAGUUAAAUUCCUCUUCUCCCAUCACUCCCCUGCCAGAACCUCCCCAGAGGUGGCUGUGGUCAUCUGUUUGGUGCACAGCUGUCCAAACCUGAUGCCCUAGGCUGGAGGAUUUC